UACGAAGGGGGCUAGCGUUGCUCGGAAUGACUGGGCGUAAAGGGCGCGUAGGCGGUUCGUACAGUCAGGCGUGAAGUUCCCGGGCUUAACCUGGGGGCUGCGUUUGAUACGUGCGGGCUUGAGUUCGGAAGAGGGUCGUGGAAUUCCCAGUGUAGAGGUGAAAUUCGUAGAUAUUGGGAAGAACACCGGUGGCGAAGGCGGCGACCUGGUCCGAUACUGACGCUGAGGCGCGAAAGCGUGGGGAGCAAACAGG
RNAcentral lists this ribosomal RNA (253 nucleotides) under uncultured bacterium. Its description in RNAcentral is "partial 16S ribosomal RNA". It matches the Rfam family "Bacterial small subunit ribosomal RNA", at positions 524 to 776 of the family's 1533-position model. The record is from RNAcentral.